This 565-nucleotide ribosomal RNA is filed under the name Pteragogus amboinensis. RNAcentral describes it as "partial 16S ribosomal RNA". It matches the Rfam family "Bacterial large subunit ribosomal RNA", at positions 1844 to 2597 of the family's 2925-position model. Lineage: Eukaryota; Metazoa; Chordata; Actinopteri; Labriformes; Labridae. The record is from RNAcentral.
AAUAAGAGGUCCCGCCUGCCCGGUGACUUUCACCAGUUUAACGGCCGCGGUAUUUUGACCGUGCAAAGGUAGCGCAAUCACUUGUCUUUUAAAUGAAGACCUGUAUGAAUGGCAUCACGAGGGCUUAACUGUCUCCUCUUCUAAGUCAAUGAAAUUGAUCUCCCCGUGCAGAAGCGGGCAUGCUCCCACAAGACGAGAAGACCCUAUGAAGCUUUAGAUAUCGAGACAGCUCACGCCAAAUAAGCCCUUUCAAGGACCCGAGCUAAGUGACCCUCUUUCUCAUUGUCUUUGGUUGGGGCGACCAUGGGGAAAUAAAAAACCCCCACGCGGAAUGGGACAACCCCCUCCUCCUCCUAGAGCUCAGAGCGCCCGCUCUAAGCAACAGAAACUUUGACCUAUAAGAUCCGGCACUGCCGAUCAACGGACCGAGUUACUCUAGGGAUAACAGCGCAAUCCCCUUUUAGAGUCCCCAUCGCCAAGGGGGUUUACGACCUCGAUGUUGGAUCAGGACAUCCUAAUGGUGCAGCCGCUAUUAAGGGUUCGUUUGUUCAACGAUUAAAGUCCU